UGAGGCGACCGGGUGAUCGCGUCUCGCCGCGUGCGAGAUGAGGAAAGUCCGCGCUCCACAGGGCACGGUGCUGGCGAAUCGCCAGGCGGGGUGACCCGACGGCAGAGUGCCACAGAGAAAUGUAUUGCCCUUCGUGAGAGGGGCGAGGGUGAAACGGUGCGGUAAGAGCGCACCAGCGCGGGCGGUGACGUCCGCGGCUAGGCAAACCCCACCGGGAGCAAGGCCAAGCAGGAACGAGGGGCUGCCCGUCCCGCGAUCAGUUCCGGGUAGGCCGCUAGAGGGGUCGGGUAACCGGCCUUCGAGAGAGAUGAUCACCACCGGCUCUUGCCGGGACAGAACGCGGCUUAUAGGCCGCCUUGGGCU
This 363-nucleotide RNase P RNA is filed under the name Chloroflexota bacterium. RNAcentral's name for it is "Chloroflexi bacterium (anaerobic digester metagenome) RNase P RNA component class A". It matches the Rfam family "Bacterial RNase P class A". From Rfam's summary of the family: Ribonuclease P (RNase P) is a ubiquitous endoribonuclease, found in archaea, bacteria and eukarya as well as chloroplasts and mitochondria. Its best characterised activity is the generation of mature 5'-ends of tRNAs by cleaving the 5'-leader elements of precursor-tRNAs. Cellular RNase Ps are ribonucleoproteins. The record is from RNAcentral. Lineage: Bacteria; Bacillati; Chloroflexota.